AAUGAAUAAGGAGAUGAUUUUCCAUUUCUGGCCCCCGAGGGAGUUUUUUUUUUUAAUUUAUUUUGAGGGGAUCAAGAUACUCUGAACUUUAGGGAGUGCUGUAAUUUACUGGAGAGAGGGGACACAAAACUCGGGGCCCCAAGCAAUUGGUGGGAAACUAGAUCUCAAAGCAGAAAAUGAAAAGUCGAUCUGGGGGAAGAUUUUUAAAUAAGUGGGUCAGAGGGACCGAGAGGAGAUGAGGCGAUCAAUCUUAGCCCCCUGACAGCUCCCUCCGAUGGCAUCAAAGAAUUUGGCUCUUUGGGAAAGCAGAGGGAACAGCCGAAAUUCCACAUCCCUUUAAAAGGCCUGGGGGUGGGGGGGGGAAUAGCAAAAGAGAAAGGUGAUUCUGGGAGAGCGGGGAAACAGAUGGGAAAUGGGGACAGAGGGAAGGACGCUGAGUUGGGUGGAAAGUUUGUCUGGAGAACUCCCACGGCUCGGGCCUCCCCUCCCCCUCCUCCUCUCCGCUGCCGGGCAAGGAGGAGAAGGCUGGUUAGCAGAGAAAUGGCAACUCAGCCGGGAGCUGGAACUAGAAACUUUCUGUCAAUGUAACAGCCGCGUGGGUGGCGACCCAAUGGUGGUUGGGCUCCGGGUCACGUGACGACUUCUUUGUAGCUCCGGAAGAGAACUGUGAAGUUUAGGUUGCUUGGAAGAAGCAGUAAACGGCCAGAUUUUGUUAUUGUUGCUGUUGUUGUGUAAGGGGUGGCCAGGAAGUUGUGGCCAAAGGAGCAAGAAGACGAAAGGUCAAUGAGAAAAACUGAGAAGCAAGAGAAUUGGAAGGGGGGAAAAAUCAAGAUUUGGAGAAAUUAACCACAGAGAUGGAAGGUGUGUUAAUUUGGGCGCUUCUUGGAUUCUACCCUGAGGAGGAGGCGCAUGGUGAGAGGAGAGGUCUGUGUAGAUCUUGAUCUGCCGCUCGCUGAGGUUCAGCAGGUUGGCCAUCUCCACGCGGCGCGGCCGGCACAGGUAGCGGUUGAAGUGGAAC
Molecule: long non-coding RNA, 1018 nt
Organism: Lontra canadensis (Northern American river otter)
Lineage: Eukaryota; Metazoa; Chordata; Mammalia; Carnivora; Mustelidae
Exons: 5
Source: RefSeq, a predicted model, not a curated record